Panicum virgatum (switchgrass) is the source of this 1557-nucleotide long non-coding RNA. RefSeq lists it as uncharacterized. The record is from RefSeq and is a predicted model, not a curated record. NCBI's taxonomy places the organism in Eukaryota, Viridiplantae, Streptophyta, Magnoliopsida, Poales, Poaceae. The transcript has 3 exons.
GCGAUACAUGGUUCCUGUUCUUAUCCAUACUCUCCUGUCGCAAUCCAUCCCCCAUCCGUCUCCAAUCCCACGACCCUGCCGUCCGGCCUCCUUCCCCGGCAGCCUUCACCCGCCCGCCCCGUCCGCGCCGCCAGCCACCCUCUCCCCUGCUUCUGGGCUGCUCGGCGGCCGGUCCUGCUGGCGGAUCUGAUCGGCGCGUCGCCUCUCCGUCUCCACCAGCCGCUGCUCCGCUCCGCGACCGGCCUUACCGAUGCCUAGCCCGGGUGGCCACGACGCAUCGCCUCUUCCUCUCCCCGGCGGUGGUCGGUCGGCGCGGCCGCGCGGGGCGUAUCCCGCCGCCGGACCAGGAUGUCCUGCACGCUCGGCGCGACAGCCGAUGGCACGAAUCGUCGCCGCCGGCCUCUCCGCUACUCCGCCUCACCUCUCCGCGACUCCUCAGCUCUGUCAGUUCGCCUCAGCUCUCCGCGACUCCCGAGUCCCGGCCUUGGCGCGACAGGCGACGGUGCGAGUCAGCGUCGCCGGCCUCUCCGCAACUCCGCCUCGCCUCUCAGCGACUUCCGAGCCGUCGACCCCGACUGCUUCCAUCUCCAGUUCCCCGUCCGCCUCCAGUGGUCGACUGCUCUGCUCCGACCUCGAUUUCAUUUGUUCAUUUAGAGACAUUGCUAUGCUACUUUGAAUUAGCAUGGCCAUAGAAGCACCUUACAAUCACCGUCGUGUUCUCCUUCGCCUCCCCAAACACCUCCGCCUGCAGAUCCGAUGACCACGUGCAGUUAGCUUUACAUCGCAGGGACCUCAUGGUCGGGUGAGUUUGCUUUGGUCUCUACAAUGAUGUAUGUCCAUGCUACUGCAAGCGCCAACAGCACCAUCUCAAUCUUGGUCACCUGUUAUCCGAACCAGUGUCACAAGACGUCGUUAUAGACAAGGUGGAACACGAGAUCAGCUAGCUCCUUCGUCAACUACAAAUUUGUCAAUGAAAUUGUCUGCAUAUACAGUUUUUGCCCCCCAAAAAACUACAAUUGAUUUGCCUCAAAAUCUGACCUCGGUGUAUUUAUGCAACACGCAGGAAUUUUAUUUUUGGAUGCAGUUCGCACAGCCAUCACAAUUCAAGUUAUGCAUUGGAAGUUGCAGUCAUUCUUUGAUACCAAAUGAAGAUGACCAAAACUACAGAUGAUAACUCCAAAUGGAUUGAUAUUUGCAUAGAUGUUCAUCACUGCUGCUUCGUAUGCACCUUGAGCUGUAUGUUUUAUACUGCAGAAUUUUGGCACGAAUGAUUGGGUUUAGCUGAAAUGCAUGUCUUAACAGAUUAGCUACACCUUUCUAUAAUGCAUACAUUUUGGCACAAUCUUCGCUAUAUCUUCCAAUCUAGGUACUUUUCUAUUUUACUGACCCCCUUGGGUCACAAUUUCAGUACAAGAUGUAACUGAACAAAAGCAAUUCUUGCCUUUAAAUUUUGUAAAGUCUUUUGAUUCAGGUUUUGUAAUUUCAGUUCAGCUGCUUCACUACAACUGCAGUUGAUUCUUUGUUUUGGGCUAUCAGCAUUUCCCAUUAUUGACCUUA